Long non-coding RNA from Acanthopagrus latus (yellowfin seabream), 6575 nucleotides. RefSeq lists it as uncharacterized. Lineage: Eukaryota; Metazoa; Chordata; Actinopteri; Spariformes; Sparidae. The record is from RefSeq and is a predicted model, not a curated record. The transcript has 4 exons.
CAACACAGCUGAAGUAACUGAUGUUUUGUCACAGUCGGACAAUAAUGCCUGCUCGCUCGGAUCGUCACAGUGUUCAAUUUUCAGAGGCCGAACUGAUUAAAAAUUCAAGAGGGGGUUUUCUCUCCCGCUGCCCUCCGUACACCAUACACCUGCAACUACUCAGAAAUGCAUUUUAAAUGUGUCCUCUGGGCUGAAUGCUCGUGGUGUAUUUCCCUUGUUGACAUGUUUUGCUCGCCAAUGCCCAUUUGCAAGGAGAAACGAUCUAAAGCACCAGAAGCUGAGAGAGGAUACAGUGCUAUGGCCAUAUAGGAUCCGUCCGCAGAGUUACACAGCGAAUAGACCCAGUUGCAGUGUGUAUGCAGACUAUUUUUGAUUUCAGUUCUUUUGUGCUGCUCUUUUAGGAACUGCGAGAACAGUGAGUAAUGGAGAGAAAGCUCAGCAAUCUGCCAACAACAGAAAGCGGCAAAGACAUCAGUCCAACCAGAAUACAAAUUCCCUGGUGCCACAAUUUAUCUCAGUCUUGCAUUAUGGUGUAAUUUCAUUUAGCUGUGUUCAUACAUUUUAAUCGGGUGGCUGACGUGAGCCGUGCACGCAGCCGCCUCUUCUCUCUGCUCAUGGCUGCAGGUCUUACACACAGUUAGGUCGAUUAUUCAUGGCGGGGUGGAGCGGUGAACUCUGACCUUUGAGAACAUCUGAAACUUUGCGGCUACCACGUUGUUAGUGAGCAGACGGGCGAAGAGUAUACCCUUCCACGGCACAAAUUACUCCUCCUCCUUCCAACGUCUGGCCUCGGCUGGCCGUACCUGCAUCUGUAUGUUAGCGCCAGACUUGGCCUCAUCUCCAAAAUGACGUCAGACUCCGGAGGAUAAUAACAGCGAGCAGCACAGAGAGCAUUAAACAAACCCAUUUCAAACCAAAGCCAAGCUAAGGUGUUAGAUGGCUCUAGCUAUUCUUAGCACCGACUUGACGGGGUCUGACACAAUCACAUCUGCUCCACCCCCACUGAGGUAAAAAGCACAGAUAAAUCAAACCUACCUUUUAAGGCAGAAACACACAGGGACGCAGUGAAAAGGCAUAAGGCCUUCUGGCCCGAGAGCUGAGAAUACUCUGAGUUCGCUAAAGCUGUGAGUCAGGGCACAAAGUAGGACAGCACACGACGAUUUUGUGUUUCCAUAAUUGGCUCCCAGGGUGACCGACUGAACAUCUGCCCUACUUCAAAAGAACAAACAAACUAAAUAAGAAUAUCUAAAGAUGGAUGGUAAGCAAGCGUGCAUGCAUGAGAACAGACAAAAGUAUAUUUUCGCAAGACCGAAACACAAAGAAAGCAAAUCUAGCAGGAAGAGAGAGGGUGGGGGGGACAGAGGGACGUGAGUGCAUUACCAUAUGGUCUGCUGGAAGGGAGCUAGAGAGUUAAACAUCGUCGCACACUGAAAUAUAGUCUGAGUCAGGGGAACACGCAUCGCUAAACACAGACACAGACAAUCACACACUCACACACACACGGAGUCAGAGCCAUCUUUAAGAUCAUAUUGGGAGGACUGACCAUUCAUUAAGCUCUAUCCGUCUCACUGUAAGGCCUACGAGUGCCAAACUCAACUAUACUUCUCCAAGCGUUGCAGAAUUACAGAAAGGUCAUUUGAUAUUUUCGACACAGUGGGUGCUCGACUUCAGACAGAGGUGGACAAAAGCAGACUUCUCAUUUCUGUCCUGCUAAAACUGUCGAAUUUCGGUGGCUGAAAUGAAAAAGGUCACCAGAAGACAUGGAAAUAAAGAAACAGCAGUCAGUCUGAAGUGAUUAUUUUUGCAGGAAAAGAGGAAGUGAGACGAAGUAGCAUAAACAGUGAUGGUUGGGUUCCGCAAGUACACGACUCUGGUGACCACUGGUGAGUAUGAAACCAGAAGUCAUCAGUGGGUCAUUUUAACUUACUAAUGCAGUUAAGCUGGCAGUUAAUAAUAGGUAACAUAGGUGAUGUAGGUACAUUUGUACUGAAGUUAGAGAAGUAACGUAGUGAUUCUAACCCAAACCAUGAUGUUCUCCUGAGCCUAGCAAAGUAGUUUUAGUGCCUAAACCUGACCAAACUGCUACCAUAUGUCAAUGGUAUGUAGCUGCUACAGUCAUGUUGCUUUAGGAACAGUGACAUACUGUAUGUUGUUUUGGGAGUAAUCGACCUAUUCAGGCGUUUAUGUAUGAGGGUGCGCUGCAGACGAUGCCAUGGCAGUAAGGAAGGAAGCCUCAAAUCUGUUUUGCUGCUGAGCUGCAAAAUAACAGUUUGCUGGCAGCGCUGGUAAUCCUGACUUGAACUGACGGGUACACCGGCUUAUUUGGAGUAGCACAGACUUUCCUACCAUAAAUCACUGUACAUGAACUCAUACAAUUACAACUGGCACAGGCUGUUUAGUCCCGAGGCAGCAGAACUAGCGUGGCGUUGAGGAGAUGCAUUACACAUAAACCUCUGCUGAUAGGGGCCCUGGGCGGCGUGUACGUUCAAAUGGAGGGUUUAUGUUAAAAACGGCAUACUUUACAAUCAAGUCAAACGUAUAAAUGCAUGUGUCUAUUUUUACAGAACCACCAUCCAGGCCUCCUGUCACCAGAGUAAUAUGCCAUACAGAAGUCUGUUUUUACACCAGACUUGCUUUGCGGUUUCAGGAGCCCUUCUUUUUUUCGUUUUCUGUAAAUGGUACAAUUUUCAGACGGCUUCCUUCAGAAUUUCCACCACUUGGACAGAUGGCUUCCAUUCAUGCUGCAUUCAAACUACCUUUUGACAGCUUUUUCCAAAUUAUCUGGUUCAGACAAGGCAACUUAUCUAGAAGGGAUGAGCAGGCAAAAUGUUUUUGUUUUUUUUUGUCUCCCUAUAUUGUGUAGUUCCGUUUAGAAACAUAAUACAACUGAGACUUAAACCUCCAAAGUCUGCUGACGUGUCCCUGUGAGGAAACACGAGCCCACAGGAAAUGUGGUCAAAGGCAAACUCACGCACACACACACACACCAAGGCUCUGUAAUUAUUCCCUUAAUCCACUUUUAUCCAUUGUGUCGUGACUCUUCAUAAACCAGCAGAAGAAUCUCUGACAGACUGUAGAUAAACUCACUUUACUUUACUUUACUUUACUUUACAGCUUACUCAAGCAGCCAAUCAGUCAUCCACUCUUGUCGUUAAUGUUUUUCCUUUCUGAAACCUAGAAGCCGGUACAGCCGAGUCAGCACCUCUGCUUCCUAAAACCAAUUUCAACACGCGGUAAAAAGACACUGUUCUGUUCAGAAAAGAGUAAACACAGAUCUGCAGUUCAUUUACAGUUGAGGCUGAUGCACGACAUCAGCAUCAGGAUACUGUGACCCAAAUGUGACGGAUCCACACUCGUCUACUGUGAAUGUUUCAGGAUGAGGAUGACGUGGGUGGCCAGGAUGCCUGUGUGCGUCUACUUCAAUCUGCCCUGUGUUAAAUUUGUUUUGUAAGUCGGCAGUAAACAGCUGAGAGAGGCAGAUGGCAGGUCUAGACAGAGAUUUUGUAUCCUUCAAAACACUGAUUGUCUUUUAUUUGCUAGGACUUAUAAAUACAGUUACAGACAAUUCAACUACACAUGCACAGCUAUUUUACUUCUUUAAAACCCAUGAUUGGUAGAGCUUUCAAAAUUGGUGCAGCACAUUUCGCUCACACAACUUCAUCUGGCAUAAUGUAAGUGCAGCAUGCUGUUCUUCAUGCGGUACAUCAUCAAAACAAUAUUCACAUUGUGAAUUCCAAUUUAGACCCAUCAGCUGGUUUGCGAGUGCAGCUACCUCAGUAGCGAAAUAGCAAAAAACUUUCCCAUUCCCGUUUACACAGUCCAGCAGCAACUGGAGGUGCCCCAGCUGAAUGUCAUGGGUGGUUGUUGCAAUUAGACAUGUAAUGCAUUUAUCAUUUGUCAUUUCUCUCAUGAUUUGAAUGCCCUUCCCGCAGACCGGGCACAGGCAAACCACCACAGCCACCUGCGCUCCCUAUCAGGCCCAUUUGAAUAGUUUAGCCUGAUAACGGGACACAGAUUACCGCUGACCUGACCAGCGUCAAUGUCAUAAAACACAGCUACAGCAGCUUGCCUCUCAGCAAUGAAUUGAAUAAAAGAGGGUUUUCCUUUUUACGUUCAAACAAAAAACAGAUCUUUGCAAAGCUCUCAUCUCAGCGCCUGCCCCAUGAACAAUGGAUAUCCUUAUUCUUUUCUACUUUUCCAUGAGAGCGUGUCUUCUGCCAGGGAAGAUCUUAAGAAAAUGAUCCCCGUUUUGAGCACACACUCAGAUGCAACAUGCUGUUGUGUUUAACCACAACAAACCCACCAAUUACUGAGAGGGGAGGAUAAAAUGAGACGAAGAAUAAAUGAAGAAAAUAAAAAAAAUCAGUUCAGGAUAUAGCAGAAGGGUGAGUGGAAAACUGCUCGUUAAAGCAGCUACGUUCCUGCUACCAUCAACUUGCUUUUUUGUCUUCUUGGCACAGUCUCAGUUUUUUUAUCUCCUAGUAUCGCCACAGCUGUUUGUCUGUUCAGCCCAGCCAGUCGGUCAUUGGGUUUCCGGGCUGGCGGGUCGGACUAACUUCCUCCGACUGAUGGAAACGAAAGCUGCCAAACCAACACAACCAACCAGUCUCCUGUUUUGGAUCCAGUUGUUCUUUUUUGUUUUACAACCAUUUUCCUCUGUCUCAUCACACUUUCUUCAUCUUUCCAUCAUCAGCUGAUCCAUCUUUGUCCUUCUUGCAGGGCAUAAAUUACAGUAAGUGGUAUAACUGACCACUUGCCAAAUCCUGCCCCCCGAUAGUUGAGCUUUUUAGUCUUGCAUGACGAUGUAAAUGCUCCCUAAAGUGAUAUCUGUAGAGGAUUUACCACUCAAGUUUGCUAAUCAUUUUUAAACAAUGGGUCAUUCAUUUCAGACAGAGGCACUUCCAGUUUAUGGGGCAGAUUUUAUCAGCUGUAGCGAGCUCGCUAAUGAAGCGAAUGUUGGCUCCAUGAGAUGUUUGAAACCAUCGUCUGCGGCUGAUUUUUUUUUUAUGGCUGUAGCUGACUUGUUGUACACAUAAACCCUGUGAAAUGGUAAUAAAAUGCUUUUGAUGGUUACAUGUGACACUGCACGAAAAACUGACACUAAAGCUGCAUGUCUCAGGCAAAUGGUCGUCAAAGCCUUCCCCAAUUGAUGAUCCAUGUAGGGAACAUGGUAAUAAAGAAGCAGCAUCGUUCUUGCAUUGCAGGUCAUAGUAGGCCUAUGUGAUGACCUCCGCUGUCAUCUUGUGUUUCCUGGGUGAUUCACCUGUGUCUCUGCUGACCUGGAACACCUGAGGUAUGUUCCCAGGCUAUUUACACCUGGCUGCAGUGCAGCUCUGCCUCCCUUUUCCAUUCAAACACCCAUUAGUUUGGUGAAGUUUGUUGCCUUGCAUUGCCUGUGCAUGCCUAUUUUUUUUUGCACCUUACAACACCCUCCACAUAGCUUAGCAACCAGAACUUCAAAGCAAAUCAAGAGGGAGAGACAAAGAGCAACGCAGAAACAGGCACUGAUGGAAAACCCAAAAAGAUCCAACCAGGGCCGACUAAUCUACCCCAGUUGGGACAAAAACAUUUAGCGGGAAGACCUGACGACCAGCUGCUGAUCCCAAACCCCAUGACCUCCUGAGCCGGGUCGUAACAGCCUAUUAUUAGUAUGACUAGGAAAAAAUGUGAGGUUACAUGACCAAUUCUUGGCUUAGCUUAGCUUACAUAAUCAGACGAACAAGACAGUGGUUAUCAAUUAUCAUGUUUUCAAACAGUCACCUACGUUUCAAGAAACGGCUUUUGGGAUGAAGACUAAUGCAAUCAUGGAUAACAAGUUUGGCUGGGGUUGCCUGAGUGUAAACCUCCCUCAAUCCAAUAAAGAGCAGCACAUGGUGGCUAACGUUAGCCUACACACUGAUAUAGUAUCCAGGACCAGCUUAAGAAAAGAGGUUAAGCAAACAGAACAUCACCUGUGAAAACCUCUUCAAUAAUGCUGCAGGGAGGAAAAGUACAAGCAGAGACAGCAACAGUGAUAUGUUUGCCCAAGAGCUGCAGACAACAGGCCCUGCAAACAGCUCACCUCCGACAGGUAAACAACUUCUUUAACCCCUCGGGCUGUCUGAUGGAAAAACACUUCAUUUUACAGCCGCUUCUCUCGUUUGUAGUCGCGGCUACACUGCCUUUUCAACAUCGGCGACUCAAGACAAGUGCAUCCUCAGUUAAAUACACACCUGUUGUAAUGGUGCUGCGAUUCCAUGACGCGCUGGUCCGACGCACCAGGUCAGAAGCAGUCGAGCCAAGUCAGCACAUGCGCUUGAACAAGGGCUGCAAGAAGGGGGGGCAGCUGAAACAGUAACAGCUUCUUCUUUCAUUACACAUGCACUGUCAAAUGUCCCUUGAGCAACACACACACACACACAGGUGGAGCAGUUUAAGCAGAACAACACUGUCUCUCUCUUGGGACUCCCAGCUAUGAAGUUGUGUAACUCUAAUGUGACUGUGACGCAGUUUCUUGGUUCAAAAGAGUGUUUUGUUUUUAAUAGAACAAUGCCGUCUGUAGAUAAAUCCUUGAAAGACGCUGCUGACUUUUUCUG